This 68-nucleotide transfer RNA is filed under the name Melanoides tuberculata. Its description in RNAcentral is "tRNA-Ile". Lineage: Eukaryota; Metazoa; Mollusca; Gastropoda; Thiaridae. The record is from RNAcentral.
AGUAUUACGCCGGAUGAACGGAAAUCAUUGAUGUUGAUUAAUAUAGGAGUUUAAUCUCUUUAAUACUA